GCUAACUUAGCUCAGUUGGAAGAGCAGCGGACUUGUAACCCGCAGGUCGUGGGUUCGAGUCCCACAGUUAGCUCCA
RNAcentral lists this transfer RNA (76 nucleotides) under Aeromonas phage ZPAH14. RNAcentral describes it as "tRNA-Thr". It matches the Rfam family "tRNA". From Rfam's summary of the family: Transfer RNA (tRNA) molecules are approximately 80 nucleotides in length. Their secondary structure includes four short double-helical elements and three loops (D, anti-codon, and T loops). Lineage: Duplodnaviria; Heunggongvirae; Uroviricota; Caudoviricetes; Chaseviridae. The record is from RNAcentral.